AGCGUUUUAUUUUUAAUAACAAGUUUCUCCUUGGGCUUAUAUGUAUUUUAUUUAUAUACAAAUACGAAGUAAGUUCGGGAGUGAAAAUACGUGAAAUUCAGGCGCUAUUUUAUAUGAGAAAAAGCAAAAGACAAAUGGAAUUUAGCUAUCAAUGUUGUCUCUUGCCUUCUUUAAUAUCCUCACAUUGUUAUUUCGUGCUUUCUAAUGCUUUUUUAAAUAAUGCAAUGUUUUGUUUUAAUACAAGCUUCUCCUCUGUUCGCCAUGUAGUAUAAAUGUCUUUACGAAGUGAAUUCGGGAGUGAAAAUACUUGAAAUUUAGACGCUAUUUUAUAUUAG
Non-coding RNA from Paramuricea clavata, 335 nucleotides. NCBI's taxonomy places the organism in Eukaryota, Metazoa, Cnidaria, Anthozoa, Malacalcyonacea, Plexauridae. The record is from the annotation of a GenBank genome assembly.